UACGUAGGGGGCUAGCGUUGUCCGGAAUUACUGGGCGUAAAGGGCUCGUAGGCGGCCAACUAAGUCAGACGUGAAAUCCCUCAGCUUAACUGGGGAACUGCGUCUGAUACUGGAUGGCUUGGAUUCGGGAGAGGAAUGCGGAAUUCCAGGUGUAGCGGUGGAAUGCGUAGAGAUCCGGAAGAACACCAGUGGCGAAGGCGGUCUGCUGGGCAGUUGCUGACACUGAUGCGCGACAGCGUGGGGAGCAAACAGG
Molecule: ribosomal RNA, 253 nt
Filed under: uncultured bacterium
Lineage: Bacteria
Description: partial 16S ribosomal RNA
Rfam family: Bacterial small subunit ribosomal RNA
Source: RNAcentral